Molecule: transfer RNA, 109 nt
Filed under: Endocarpon pusillum Z07020
Lineage: Eukaryota; Fungi; Ascomycota; Eurotiomycetes; Verrucariales; Verrucariaceae
Rfam family: tRNA
About the family: Transfer RNA (tRNA) molecules are approximately 80 nucleotides in length. Their secondary structure includes four short double-helical elements and three loops (D, anti-codon, and T loops).
Source: Rfam by way of RNAcentral
GGGAGGAUGGCCGAGUGGUUAAGGCGCUUGACUCAAGCGACUUCCUAUCCUUAGAUUAGGACCUAUUCAAGUGGAGAGAUCCGCGUGGGUUCGAGUCCCACUCCUCUCA